GAUGAUCAGCACAUCGGGACUGAGACACGGCCGAAUUUCUACGGGAGGCAGCAGUGGGAAUAUUGGACAAUGGGGCAACCUGAUCCAGCCAUGCGCGUGUGUGAAGAAGGCCCUCGGGUUGUAAAGCACUUUCAGCGAGGAAGAACGCCUAGUAGUUAAUACCCAUUAGGAAAGACAUCACUCGCAGAAGAAGCACCGGCUAACUCCGUGCCAGCAGCCGCGGUAAUACGGAGGGUGCAAGCGUUAAUCGGAAUUACUGGGCGUAAAGCGCGCGUAGGUGGCUUGAUAAGCCGGUUGUGAAAGCCCCGGGCUCAACCUGGGAACGGCAUCCGGAACUGUCAGGCUAGAGUGCAGGAGAGGAAGGUAGAAUUCCCGGUGUAGCGGUGAAAUGCGUAGAGAUCGGGAGGAAUACCAGUGGCGAAGGCGGCCUUCUGGACUGACACUGACACUGAGGUGCGAAAGCGUGGGUAGCAAACAGGAUUAGAUACCCUGGUAGUCCACGCCGUAAACGAUGUCGACCAGCCGUUGGGUGCCUAGCGCACUUUGUGGCGAAGUUAACGCGAUAAGUCGACCGCCUGGGGAGUACGGCCGCAAGGUUAAAACUCAAAUGAAUUGACGGGGGCCCGCACAAGCGGUGGAGCAUGUGGUUUAAUUCGAUGCAACGCGAAGAACCUUACCUACCCUUGACAUCGACAGAAGCCGAGAGAGAUCUUGGUGUGCCUUCGGGAACUGUCAGACAGGUGCUGCAUGGCUGUCGUCAGCUCGUGUUGUGAAAUGUUGGGUUAAGUCCCGUAACGAGCGCAACCCUUGUCCUUAUUUGCCAGCGCGUAAUGGCGGGAACUCUAAGGAGACUGCCGGUGACAAACCGGAGGAAGGUGGGGACGACGUCAAGUCAUCAUGGCCCUUACGGGUAGGGCUACACACGUGCUACAAUGGCCGGUACAAAGGGCAGCGAGCUCGCGAGAGUCAGCGAAUCCCUUAAAGCCGGUCUCAGUCCGGAUCGGAGUCUGCAACUCGACUCCGUGAAGUCGGAAUCGCUAGUAAUCGGAAUCAGAAG
RNAcentral lists this ribosomal RNA (1057 nucleotides) under uncultured bacterium. RNAcentral describes it as "bacterial SSU rRNA". It matches the Rfam family "Bacterial small subunit ribosomal RNA", at positions 299 to 1355 of the family's 1533-position model. The record is from RNAcentral.